ACUGCUAUCGGAUUGGUACUAAGCCAUGUGAGUCAUUGUAGCAAUACAAGGCAGACGGCUCAGUAACACGUAGUCAAUCUACCCUAUGGACGGGGAUAACCUCGGGAAACUGAGGAUAAACCCCGAUAGAUCAUAAUUCCUGGAAUGGUUUAUGGUUCAAACGAUUCGUCGCCGUAGGAUGGGACUGCGGCCUAUCAGCUUGUUGGUGAGGUAAUGGCCCACCAAGGCUAUUACAGGUACGGGCUCUGAGAGGAGAAGCCCGGAGAUGGGUACUGGGACACGGACCCAGGCCCUAUGGGGCGCAGCAGGCGAGAAACCUUUGCAAUGUGCGCAAGCACGACAAGGUUAAUCCGAGUGUUUCCUGCUAAAGGAAUCUUUUGUUAGUUCUAAAACCACUAAUGAAUAAGGGGUGGGCAAGUUCUGGUGUCAGCCGCCGCGGUAAAACCAGCACCUCAAGUGGUCAGGAGGAUUAUUGGGCCUAAAGCAUCCGUAGCCUGUUCUAUAAGUUUCCGGUUAAAUCCAUUAGCUCAACUAAUGGGCUGCCGGAAAAACUGUAGAACUAGGGAGUGGGAGAGGUAGACGGUACUCGGUAGGAAGGGGUAAAAUCCUUUGAUCUAUUGAUGACCACCUGUGGCGAAGGCGGUCUACCAGAACACGUUCGACGGUGAGGGAUGAAAGCUGGGGGAGCAAACCGGAUUAGAUACCCGGGUAGUCCCAGCUGUAAACGAUGCAGACUCGGUGAUGCCCUGGCUUGUGGCCAGUGCAGUGCCGCAGGGAAGCCGUUAAGUUUGCCGCCUGGGAAGUACGUACGCAAGUAUGAAACUUAAGGGAAUUGGCGGGGGAGCACCACAAGGGGUGAAG
Molecule: ribosomal RNA, 861 nt
Filed under: uncultured archaeon
Lineage: Archaea
Description: bacterial SSU rRNA
Rfam family: Archaeal small subunit ribosomal RNA
Source: RNAcentral